ACCAGAGGGUUUUAUUCCUAAUCAGCUAGUCCAGCUGCCGUCUGGAUAGUCUCUGACUAAUAAGUAAGUUAUUACACAGAAAUAGGAUUAAUCUAUAUCACAAAUUUUGGUUGUAUACUUACUAAUCAAUUUUAUUACCAAGGUAACAAGAACUAAUACCAACCUGAGGAAUUAGUUAUUUGAAAGGACUACACAGUUAGUUGGAAUUCCACCAAUACUGAUUCAUUGCCAUAGAAUACCCCUGAUGAAGUCAAUAAUGAUGAAACGCGUUGGUUGAUUCAUUGCUUUAUUAUUCAGAUCCUAAAUGAAAGAAAUGAACUGUCUUUCAAAUACAUGUUAAGAAUUCUAUUGGACAUAUGUAUUAGCACAGACAUAACUACAGUCGGAAAGACCCAUGAACAAACAACUGAAGACAACUGCGGCAAAGGCCUGGCAAACCAUAGCAAAGGAGGAAACCCAGCAUUUAGUGAUGUUCAAGGGAUCCAGACUUCAGGCAGUCAUUUUCCACAAAAUAUUAAAAUUAACAUUUAAUUCAUGAUUAUGUUAAUUCGUCUAAAGACAAUUUGAGCACUUGAAAACAGGGGACGGUGUAUAAAAA
Molecule: long non-coding RNA, 598 nt
Organism: Pseudophryne corroboree (corroboree frog)
Lineage: Eukaryota; Metazoa; Chordata; Amphibia; Anura; Myobatrachidae
Exons: 3
Source: RefSeq, a predicted model, not a curated record